UCAGUUCAGUACUGUGCUGCGGUGAAGAAUAACACUAUGGUUUCUCCAUGAUUUUUUUUAAAACGAAGUCCGAGGCAGCUUCCACGUUUCAACUAUUAAGCAAAAGAAUUGAAGGUUCGAGGAAACAAUGACUGAAUUCUCAACUGCAAUGAAUCCCUUGACAACUUUUCUUCGAUAUGUCAAAAAUGUUGAAGGACAAGCAGGACUGUAGCCC
This 214-nucleotide long non-coding RNA is filed under the name Elaeis guineensis (African oil palm). RNAcentral describes it as "long non-coding RNA (EGUI_LNC006596)". The record is from RNAcentral. Lineage: Eukaryota; Viridiplantae; Streptophyta; Magnoliopsida; Arecales; Arecaceae.